ACCCGCUGAACUUAAGCAUAUCAGUAAGCGGAGGAAAAGAAAACAACAGUGAUUCUCAUAGUAACGGCGAGUGAAGUGAGAAUAGCCCAACGUUAAAAGCUCCAUUGAAUUAUCAAUGGCGCAUUGUAACGUAUGGAUUCGCUCUCAAGGCAGUUGGUCGCGUGAAAGUUGUCUGGAAAGGCACGCCAAGGAGGGUGAUAGCCCCGUGUAACACGCAACUACUGGCUGCCAAGCAGGCGAACUCGUAGAGUAGGGUUGUUUGGGAAUGCAGCCCAAAUCGGGUGGUAAACUUCACCUAAGGCUAAAUAUAGACACGAGACCGAUAGCGAACAAGUACCGUGAGGGAAAGUUGAAAAGCACUCUGAAAAGAGAGUCAAAAGUACGUGAAACCGUCGAUGGGGAAGCGGACGGCGGAGUCGAAGUUAGCCCGACAUCCAGCAAAAUUGUGGUACUUAUGGUGCCUAAUAUUUUGUGCAUCUGUUUGGUUAACGCGCUGGGCUGAUUGCAUUUAAGCUGCUGCUGGUGAACUCAGCUUGUGGUAAGGGCGUUAAGGUGUAUAUCUUGAUGAACAAUUACAAGUGAAUGCCAGCAGUGUAGAGCAAAGGUGUAAUACGAGCUCCUUGUUGAGUAACACGUAUGUUACGGUAUUGUGGAUUCAUUUGAGUGUAUGCUAGGUCUAACAAGGCUCGCUGCAUGAGAAUGAAUUGCAGUAUGGUGGCGUACACACAGUGUUGACUCCCAGCGAGACACUGCGCUGUCCGACCCGUCUUGAAACACGGACCAAGGAGGCUAAUGUACACGCGAGUCAAGGAGUGGAAAAACUCCAAGGCGAAACGAAAGUAAAAGAUCAGAUCUCCGUUGUGCGUAAAGGAGUGCAUGAUUGGCCAGCUUCUAGGUUGCUAGUGGUUGAGCAGGAGCGUGUGCAGUAGGACCCGAAAGAUGGUGAUCUAUGCCUGAGUAGGGUGAAGUCGGAGGAAACUCUGAUGGAGGCCCGAAGCGUUCCUGACGUGCAAUUCGGUCGUCAAACUUGGGUAUAGGGGCGAAAGACUAAUCGAACCAUCUAGUAGCUGGUUCCCUCUGAAAUAUCCCUCAGGAUCGCCGGAGCCCAAGCAAGAAACAGUUUCAUCGGGUAGAGCGAAUGAUUAGAGGCAUCGGGGUUGUAGUAGACCUCGACCUAUUCUCAAACUUCGAAUCGGUGAUAAGUAUCUGUUGCUUGAAGUUUAUCGGUGAACAGGUACUGUUGAAUGUAGGGCUCCGAGUGGGCCGUUUUUGGUAAGCAGAACUGGCGAUGCGGGAUGAACCGAAAGCUGAGUUAAGGUGCCUAAGUGGACGCCCACGGACACCAUGAAAGGAGUCGGUCGAUGAAGACAGCAGGACGGUGGCCCUGAAAGUAGGAAUCCGCUAAGGAGUGUCUAACAACUCACCUGCCGAAUCGACUGGCCCUGAAAAUGGAUGGCGCUGUAGCGUUCCACCGAUACUCAGCCAUCGACACGAGAAAUGUGCUGUCGAUGGGUAAGAGGGCGCAACGGUUGCUGCGAAGAAUGCGACGUGAGUCGGUUUGAAGCGGCCGUUGGUGCAGAUCUUGGUGGUAGUAGCAAUUAUUCAAGUGAGAACCUUGAAGGCCGAAGUGGAGAAGGGUUCCGUGUGAACAGCAUUUGGACGCGGGUUAGUCGGUCCUAAGCGGAGGCUUACAAGCCAUGAAAGAGAGCUUUGAGUGAUACAUAGGAGCAUUGCUUUCGAGUGAGGCUUCUUGUGUUGCUUAUACACCGCUCUACACCGCGAAAGGGAAUGUAGCUAAAAUUCUACAACCCAGCUAUGGAUGAGUGUUUUGCAUUGAAGGCGGUAACGCAAGUGAAACUCAGAGACGUCAGAGGCAGUCCUAGGGAGAGUUAUCUUUUCUGCUUAACAGUCUGAAGCCCUGGAAUCGAGUUGAUCGGAGAUAGGGCCUAGAGACUGGAAGAGCGUCGCACUUUACGUGACGUCUGGUGUACUGUCUAUGACCCUUGAAAAUCUGAGGGAGCGAUUAUUUCCUAGCUGGUCCGUACCGUAAUCCGCAUCAGGUCUCCAAGGUGAGCAGCCUCUGGCACUAGAACAAUGUGGGUAAGGGAAGUCGGCAAAAUAGAUUCGUAACUUUGGGAUAAGGAUUGGCUCUAAGGGUUGAGUAUAGCGGCCUUUAACGAAUUGACUGCAGGGCCUGGAUGUUUGAUCUAGGUUGCGCUGAUGGGCCUAGCGGUUGAGGUGUUUGAGGGUAAUUAGGGCUGAGCCUUGGUUUGGUUCUAUUGCUAUACAAUUAACAACCAACUUAGAACCGUCGCUGACUCGAGGAAUCCGACUGUUUAAUUAAAACAUAGCAUUGCGAUGGCUGUAAACGGUGUUGACGCAAUGUGAUUUCUGCCCCAGUGCUCUGAAUGUCAAGGUGUGGUGACGCAACCAAGCGCGGGUAAACGGCGGGUGUAACUAUGACUCUCUCAAGAUAGCCAAAUGCCUCGUCAUCUAAUUAGUGACGCGCAUGAAUGGAUCAACGAGAUUCCUACUGUCCCUACCUACCAUCUAGCGAACCCACAGCCAAGGGAACGGGCUUGGCGGAGACAGCGGGGAAAGAAGACCCUGUUGAGCUUGACUCUAGUUUGAUUUUGUGAGGAGACAUGUGAGGUGUAGGAUAGGUGGGAGGCAUUGUCUUCUAUGAUGUCGACGGUGCAAGCCAGUGAAAUACCACCACUUUCAUCGUUUCCUCACUUAGUCGGUGAUGAGGGUAGUGCCCAUUCACAGAAUGGUGUCACAAUAUUCAAAGCAUUAAGAUACACUGCUGUGCUUUGUGGUGCAGUAUUGUGUGUCGACCCAUUGAUCGAUGACAGAAUCAGAUGGGGAGUUUGACUGGGGCGGUACAUCCUUUAAAAUGCAACGAGGGUGUCCUAAGGUGGGCUCACCGUGGACAGAAACCACGGGUAGAGCAUAAGGGCAAAAGCCUGCUUGAUUUUGAUUUUCAGUAUGAAUACAAACCACGAAAGUGUGGCCUAACGAUCCACUAAUAAAUGACCUGAGUUUCAGGAUAGUGGUGUCAGAAAAGUUACCACAGGGAUAACUGGCUUGUGGCAGCCAAGCGAACAUAGCGACGUUGCUUUUUGAUCCUUCGAUGUCGGCUCUUCCUAUCAUUGGGUAGCAGCGUACCCAAAGCGUUGGAUUGUUCACCCCCUAACAGGGAACGUGAGCUGGGUUUAGAC
Molecule: ribosomal RNA, 3221 nt
Filed under: Chloromyxum leydigi
Lineage: Eukaryota; Metazoa; Cnidaria; Myxozoa; Bivalvulida; Chloromyxidae
Description: eukaryotic LSU rRNA
Rfam family: Eukaryotic large subunit ribosomal RNA
Source: RNAcentral